Nannospalax galili (Upper Galilee mountains blind mole rat) is the source of this 128-nucleotide small nucleolar RNA. The record is from Ensembl. NCBI's taxonomy places the organism in Eukaryota, Metazoa, Chordata, Mammalia, Rodentia, Spalacidae.
GCCAGCUGCCUUUGAGACCCCACCACUCUCCUCGUGGCGCCUGGGGUUAAGCUGCAGCCGCACAGCACAACACAUUACUGGGACUGCCUGCCCAUUGCGGGAGGUCCUUUUAACUGCCAGCUACAGGG